Molecule: long non-coding RNA, 1233 nt
Organism: Asparagus officinalis (garden asparagus)
Lineage: Eukaryota; Viridiplantae; Streptophyta; Magnoliopsida; Asparagales; Asparagaceae
Exons: 2
Source: RefSeq, a predicted model, not a curated record
CACUCUUCCUCCAUUCUAUUCGUUAACCAGCUUUCCCCCAAAAAUUUCCCCCAAAUUCUAAAAUUCCGCCCUCUCUAAUUUCCAGCCCCCUCUAAAAUCCCUAACCCCAAUCUCUGUUCUCUCUGUUCUCUCCAGCAGCCUCCAUCAACCUUCGUGCAUCCUUCCUCUCUGUCUCCUUCUCUUGUGUUACAUUACAUCACCUUCUCCUUUCUUCUCCUUCCUCCCCCAAUCGCUUUCGUCAAACGUCAAAAACCAACAUAAGUGCUCGAUCAACCUCUAUUCUCCCCUGUUUUAUUUUUAUUCGUAGUUCUCUCAUUAUAAAUACAAAGCCUGGCUCUAUUCAAUCUUAUUAUUGCAUAAAACUUCCUCAACCUUAAUUAAUUAACCUCUGACAAUGGGAUCCAUGUCUAACUUUGACCAGCAGCAGGGCUCGAUCCCCAAGAGUUUGAGCUUUGAUCACCUCCUCGAUCUUCGAUUUCGUCGGUGAAAAGGGUGCCAUCGGUGUCGAAUCUGAGGUCGAGGUCAUCGAUGGGAUCGGAGAAGGGGAUGCCAAAGAAACCGGAUCCUAAGAUUGUUCGUGCUGCUACUGGUUACAUCCUUAAGGAUGUGCCUCACGUGACUGAUUAUAUCAAGGAUCUUGCUUUAUUUUUAAUUUUAAUUAAAAAUCUUUUUUUUUGGGUUUUGCCUUUGUUGGCGGUGGUGAGUUGAUGCCUGUUAACAAUUGCAAAUUAGAAGCUGUGGUAUUUGAUUUUUAACUUUGCUUAAAGUGGAGCUUUUAUCAUGUUCCAUUAAUCUUGGCUCUCGUAAUUUUGAGUGUGAUAGCAGAUAGCUUACACAAUAUUUCUAAUCACCCUUGGAACUUUUCCCCCCUCUUUUUAUUUUACUUAAUGAGUUUGGCUCAUCCAUUUGUUAUUUUCUUUUGAUAGACAUAUCCCAACCUGCUGCAAGACAAUCCUUCAUAUUCAGUGGUGAAGUAUGCACCCAUCUAAUUCAUCAUUCGAGGUUAGAGGAGGUACUCCCGUAGGGAGCAGCAGUAAGAUACGACAUUCUAAUGCAGACGACACUGAUAACAAGGAUGUCGACAACGACAAAGACGAUGACGAGGAGUGAGUAAGACUUGUAUUAAGACAUAUUAUGACUUUUGAAUUUUACCUAUAUGUAAUAUAUUUGUGAUUUUAUUACAUAGUGAAUGAAUAUUAUUUGAGCAUGCGAGAUGUAUUGUGAUUGUGAUUA